AUCCAGCUGACGAGUUCGAAAUAGGACAGGUGAAAUGAGCAUCCUGGAU
RNAcentral lists this non-coding RNA (49 nucleotides) under Trichobilharzia regenti. Lineage: Eukaryota; Metazoa; Platyhelminthes; Trematoda; Strigeidida; Schistosomatidae. The record is from RNAcentral.